GCUGGUGUAGCUCAACGGUAGAGCAGCUGAUUUGUAAUCAGCAGGUUGGGGGUUCAAAUCCCUUCGCCAGCUCCA
RNAcentral lists this transfer RNA (75 nucleotides) under Candidatus Tectimicrobiota bacterium. RNAcentral's name for it is "tRNA-Thr". It matches the Rfam family "tRNA". Rfam says of the family: Transfer RNA (tRNA) molecules are approximately 80 nucleotides in length. Their secondary structure includes four short double-helical elements and three loops (D, anti-codon, and T loops). Lineage: Bacteria; Pseudomonadati; Candidatus Tectimicrobiota. The record is from RNAcentral.